Non-coding RNA from Oryctolagus cuniculus (rabbit), 1357 nucleotides. Lineage: Eukaryota; Metazoa; Chordata; Mammalia; Lagomorpha; Leporidae. The record is from RefSeq and is a predicted model, not a curated record.
CAGCCUACACUGACCGAAGCACUCUGUCUCAAGUUCCUCCAAGUUCUCAAUGCAAGGCAACAUCCCUGUGUAUUUCAAAGAAAGAUCAAUGCUAAAAGGAAUAGAGGCAAAUGAGAAAUUUGGCUUCUAACCAAAAAAAAAAAAAAAGACGAUGACGAUGAUGACUUGACAAAAAAAGUUCUGAGAUUUUAAUGUGACAGAAUGGAAUCCUAGAAAGAAAAGCUCAAUGUGACACGAAGAGGCAGGAGCAGCCUGAGAGCCAGCAUCAAGAAAUAUUCAUCCGCUUCCUACUCGGAGAAAAGCUGCAGAAACACAGAACAACUCUCAUCCAUAGGCUUUUUCUCCAAGGUCAUCAGAUUCAUUCAGCCCAUGACAGUGGCUGGGAAUAUUCAAUAUGGCUGAAUAAGUGGAUGGAUAAAUGAGCAAACACAGGCCCCCAUUUUGUCUUAGCUGCCAGAAUCUCCCCAGGUGUUAGCUGAAGGGUUUGCCUUAAGAUGAACAUUUGAGAAGAGUCUUCUACUGAAAAAUAGGAAGUAAUCCCAAGAACAACACACCUUGAUUUUUCACAGAGUCCCUUUUUCCUUGCCAAGAAUCUCAGAGCACUUUGGAGGGCACCCGAUUUCCAACGAGUAGUAGCUGGAUAGGAGGCGCUUCCAGAGCCUCUUGGAAUUUCCUGAAGGAAGAUAAAGGCUGCGAAGGGGUCAUCAAAGGCCAGACACACUGUGUAAAGUCUGUAUUCCUGCAUAUUUUGCAGACAGGAAAAAGAAAGAACAAAAACUUCACAGUUGGGAAUAGAAAAUACCUCAUGGAUAUGGGUUUUAUUGCAAGCUCUGCGUCUGAGUUAAAGAUGUUAAUGCUGAAUUCGCCCACCAAGAUCAAAACUCCUACAAAACUCUUCCAGCUGCAGCAUUUAUGGCUCCAGGUUUUGUUUCAGAAAACUUGACCCUCUGUGAAAGUACUCUGAAGAAUUUUUAAGGUGAGAAUGACGUAACUAGGUUUGGGUUUUAAGAAGUAUUGCUGAACAUCUCUGCAGAAGGUGAGCUGGAGGAGAAGAAGAAAGAAAGCAAGGAGAUAAGUUUCAAAACAACUACAAGAAAUGAUGAGACCUGCACCAAGGCAUCACUGGAAGUUGGAGAGGAUAGAAGAAUUUGAAAAAUGAUUUGGGAACUAGAACUGGUAGUGCCACGUGACUAUUAAAGAUAAGAGGUGAGGCAAGGAGGGCAGCCUCGAACAGCUCCCAGGUGUCUAAUACCCAGGAGAAUACUGUGCUUCCAACAAUAUACGAAAUACAAACAAAUAUGAAACUGUUCACCAUAAACACAGUCACAUGUAUGUAUAAUAAAAGUUCUGAGCUAAA